CCUACGGGUGGCAGCAGGGGGGAAUAUUGCGCAAUGGGCGAAAGCCUGACGCAGCGACGCCGCGUGAGGGAUGAAGGUCUUCGGAUCGGACACCUCUGUCAGCAGGGAAGAACGGUCACUGUGCUAAUCAGCAGUGAAUUGACGGUACCCGCAAAGGAAGCACCGGCUAACUCAGUGCCAGCAGCCGCGGUAAUACGGAGGGUGCGGGCGUUAAUCGGAAUUACUGGGCGUAAGGCGCUCGUAGGCGGUAUGGCAAGUCAAGGGGGAAAUCCCCGCGCUCAACGUGGGAACUGCCUUUGAAACUGGCAAACUGGAGUGUGUGAGAGGAUAGUGGAAUUCCAGGUGUAGGAGUGAAAUCCGUAGAUAUCUGGAGGAACAUCAGUGGCGAAGGCGACUAUCUGGCACAUAACUGACGCUGAGGAGCGAAAGCGUGGGUAGCAAACAGGAUUAGAUACCCGGGUAGUC
This 465-nucleotide ribosomal RNA is filed under the name uncultured bacterium. RNAcentral describes it as "partial 16S ribosomal RNA". It matches the Rfam family "Bacterial small subunit ribosomal RNA", at positions 338 to 795 of the family's 1533-position model. The record is from RNAcentral.